AUUUCAAGUUUCACGCGGAAAUCUUAAACGAUUUAAUUGCAAUAAUUGAAAUAAAGAAAUGAAUUUCAACGUUCAUAUAAAAAUCCCAACAAUGAUUUUUUUAAUCUAGACAUUAAAAACAGAACAUUUCAUUUAUAAGUUUGCAACGAUAAAAUCUAAAAAAAAAAAGAAUAUAAUAAUGUAUUUCUGUUUGAAUUAAUCAUUUAAAGGAAUUUUCUCAGUCGGAUGAAAGUGAUCAAAGCGUCCUUGCUCUUGGAGCUAAUGUCAAUGCUCGACCUAGUUACCAUACGCUUCUCAGCCGCUGCGCUUAUCAUGAUUUCUAAAAAUCCAUUGGCCGGUAUAUCGUAGAAAUAUCACUUUAUAUUAUGGAUUUCUCAUCUUUUUGAAAUUAAACUCUUCAAUUAGAAGAGAUGAUUGGAAUGAUUUCCGGUUAUACACUGAGAAACACUUCCGGUUAUACACUGAAUCAAAAUUAGUAUACAUCUUUCAUCAUCCAUUUCUACUAACUUUCUUCUCAAUAGACUUUGCACUAUACUAUUCGAUGGAUCACUCGAUUCGCGUUUCAUUUCAUCUUAUAAUCCAAGUCAACUUUCACGACAUUUUUGUGAUUUUAUUUAAUCAUUUAUAUAUUUCUAAGAAAAACUUUUUUCUACAUUUUUUUUUUCAAGUGAGAGAUCUUUUCACUAUUGGAGAAAAGCUUAUGAUUGUAAAAAAGGAAACAUGUCUAAAAAGUCAUGCUACAAUAUAAAAAGAAAUAUGUGUUUGAAGGAAAAGAUAAUACGAAAGUUUGAAAGACAUUAAGAGCUGAAUAAAUAGAACAAAAGAAUGUAAUUUUUUCCGGACAAAUAAUCGCUCUUUAAUGAUAAUGAUCCUCGUGUUUUUUUUACACUUUUACUUUCUAUAGAGCAUGAAGUAUGAAGUACGGAUAAACUAAUUUUCUCCAUUGUUAUGUAUAAAUCUUAAAAGGAAUGUACCCCCGAGAAUUUAUGAAGCAACGUGUUUUACUUUCACAUAAACCACGAUCUACUCUCGAUCUUAAUACAAGAAAUGAACCGCAAGAAGAUCUUAUAGAUGAUUUUCUAAUAAUAGAUAUUGAUAUUGCACUAUAAUUAAUGAUAAUUAAAUAAUCUUUCAUUUCAGACUUUGUGUAUUAUAAAUCUUGACUUCAACUUUCUCUAUAUUGUUUUGAUUUUCAAAACAUAAAUUUAAAGUAACAUUGAAUUUAAUUAAGAAGAAUGAAUAAUGAAUCUAUCGCAAGUUCAAUGAUUAAAUGCAUAUUAAAACUGAUGAUUCGAGUGAAAGAUAGGAUGAUAUUUCGAUAGGAAAAUUGACACUUCACACAUAAAACAAAGGAUGCACAAUGAUCUUGAAACGGGUUUAACAUGCAUAUUGGAAAAUUGCCAAUCAUGUCGUUGGCUUACUUUCUUCGAUUGCAGACAGUCGAUGCGACCAAAAUUCAUAUGCGCGUCAUAUGUACGCUCUAUUAUAUUAAAAUACGCUUCGUCAAGCGCGGCACAUAAACAAGAAAGAAGAGGAAGAGAUACAUAUACUGCAGCCUUUUUUUUCUUUACUCAAGUUCCUUAGUCAAAGCACGCUAAUGAAAGCGAUUUCAGUGAAAUGCAAGUACAUCCCUCCGAAUAAUGAAUAAUGAAUAGCCAGUUUUACUCGAUUUUCAUCGGGUGGCUCGAUAGUUUUCAUAUUUUCCCCGGUCUCGCUUCACGG
Apis dorsata (giant honeybee) is the source of this 1722-nucleotide long non-coding RNA. RefSeq lists it as uncharacterized. The transcript has 3 exons. NCBI's taxonomy places the organism in Eukaryota, Metazoa, Arthropoda, Insecta, Hymenoptera, Apidae. The record is from RefSeq and is a predicted model, not a curated record.